This 279-nucleotide ribosomal RNA is filed under the name uncultured bacterium. RNAcentral's name for it is "partial 16S ribosomal RNA". It matches the Rfam family "Bacterial small subunit ribosomal RNA", at positions 506 to 784 of the family's 1533-position model. The record is from RNAcentral.
UGCCAGCAGCCGCGGUAAUACGAACUGCGCAAACGUUACUCGGAAUCACUGGGCUUAAAGGGUGCGUAGGCGGCUAAGCAAGUCGGGUGUGAAAUCUUUCGGCCCAACCGGAAAACUGCGCCCGAAACUGCUUAGCUUGAGUGCGAUAGGGGUGUGCGGAACUUCCAGUGGAGCGGUGAAAUGUGUUGAUAUUGGAAGGAACGCCGGUGGCGAAAGCGGCACACUGGGUCGCAACUGACGCUGAGGCACGAAAGCCAGGGGAGCGAACGGGAUUAGAUA